GCCCUUGUAGUUCAAUGGAUAGAACAACGGGCUUCUAUCCCGUCAAUGUGGGUUCGAGUCCUACCGGGGGCACUA
Molecule: transfer RNA, 75 nt
Filed under: Candidatus Kaiserbacteria bacterium
Lineage: Bacteria; Candidatus Kaiseribacteriota
Description: tRNA-Arg
Rfam family: tRNA
About the family: Transfer RNA (tRNA) molecules are approximately 80 nucleotides in length.
Source: RNAcentral